UGGGGAAUCUUGCACAAUGGGGGCAACCCUGAUGCAGCGACGCCGCGUGAGCGAUGAAGGUUUUCGAAUCGUAAAGCUCUGUCCUAUGGGAAGAUAAUGACGGUACCAUAGGAGGAAGCCCCGGCUAACUACGUGCCAGCAGCCGCGGUAAUACGUAGGGGGCGAGCGUUGUCCGGAAUUACUGGGCGUAAAGGGUUCGCAGGCGGCAUGGCAAGUCCGAUGUAAAAGGCGAAGGCUCAACCUUCGUAAGCAUCAGAAACUGUCAAGCUUGAGUGAAGGAGAGGCAAGUGGAAUUCCUAGUGUAGCGGUGGAAUGCGUAGAUAUUAGGAGGAAUACCGGUGGCGAAGGCGACUUGCUGGACUUCAACUGACGCUGAGGAACGAAAGCGUGGGUAGCAAACAGG
RNAcentral lists this ribosomal RNA (403 nucleotides) under Bacteroidota bacterium. Its description in RNAcentral is "Bacteroidetes bacterium partial 16S ribosomal RNA". It matches the Rfam family "Bacterial small subunit ribosomal RNA", at positions 355 to 776 of the family's 1533-position model. The record is from RNAcentral. Lineage: Bacteria; Pseudomonadati; Bacteroidota.